CAUAUCAAUAAGCGGAGGAAAAGAAACCAACAGGGAUUGCCCUAGUAACGGCGAGUGAAGCGGCAACAGCUCAAAUUUGAAAUCUGGCUUCGGCCCGAGUUGUAAUUUGUAGAGGAAGCUUCUGGCGCGGUGCCAUCCGAGUCCCCUGGAACGGGGCGCCAUAGAGGGUGAGAGCCCCGUAUGGAUGGAUGCCUAGCCUGUGUGAAGCUCCUUCGACGAGUCGAGUAGUUUGGGAAUGCUGCUCAAAAUGGGAGGUAAAUUCCUUCUAAAGCUAAAUAUUGGCCAGAGACCGAUAGCGCACAAGUAGAGUGAUCGAAAGAUGAAAAGCACUUUGAAAAGAGGGUUAAACAGCACGUGAAAUUGUUGAAAGGGAAGCGCUUGUGACCAGACUUGCGCCAGGUUGAUCAUCCGGUGUUCUCACCGGUGCACUCUGCCUGGCACAGGCCAGCAUCAGUUUUGGCGGGGGGAUAAAGGGCGCAGGAACGUAGCUCCUCCGGGAGUGUUAUAGCCUGUGUCGUAAUGCCCUCGCCGGGACUGAGGACCGCGCAUCUGCAAGGAUGCUGGCGUAAUGGUCAUCAGCGACCCGUCUUGAAACACGGACCAAGGAGUCAAGGUUUUGCGCGAGUGUUUGGGUGUAAAACCCGCACGCGUAAUGAAAGUGAACGUAGGUGAGAGCUUCGGCGCAUCAUCGACCGAUCCUGAUGUAUUCGGAUGGAUUUGAGUAAGAGCGUUAAGCCUUGGACCCGAAAGAUGGUGAACUAUGCUUGGAUAGGGUGAAGCCAGAGGAAACUCUGGUGGAGGCUCGCAGCGGUUCUGACGUGCAAAUCGAUCGUCAAAUCUGAGCAUGGGGGCGAAAGACUAAUCGAA
This 867-nucleotide ribosomal RNA is filed under the name Garciamycella fici. Its description in RNAcentral is "Cercophora fici partial large subunit ribosomal RNA". It matches the Rfam family "Eukaryotic large subunit ribosomal RNA", at positions 39 to 939 of the family's 3401-position model. The record is from RNAcentral. Lineage: Eukaryota; Fungi; Ascomycota; Sordariomycetes; Sordariales; Schizotheciaceae.